UUAGAGUUUGAUCAUGGCUCAGGACGAACGCUGGCGGCGUGCUUAACACAUGCAAGUCGACGAUGAUGCCCAGCUUGCUGGGUUGAUUAGUGGCGAACGGGUGAGUAACACGUGAGUAACUGCCCCUGACUCUGGGAUAAGCGUUGGAAACGACGUCUAAUACUGGAUAUGAUCGCCGGCGCAUGGUCUGGUGGUGGAAAGAUUUUUUGGUUGGGGAUGGACUCGCGGCCUAUCAGCUUUUGGUGAGGUAAUGGCUCACCAAGGCGACGACGGGUAGCCGGCCUGAGAGGGUGACCGGCACACUGGGACUGAGACACGGCCCAGACUCCUACGGGAGGCAGCAGUGGGGAAUAUUGCACAUGGGCGAAAGCCUGAUGCAGCAACGCCGCGUGAGGGAUGACGGCCUUCGGGUUGUAAACUCUUUUAGUAGGGAAGAAGCGAAAGUGACGGUACCUGCAGAAAAAGCACCGGCUAACUACUGCCAGCAGCCGCGGUAAUACGUAGGGUGCAAGCGUUGUCCGGAAUUAUUGGGCGUAAAGGCUCGUAGGCGGUUUGUCGCGUCUGCUGUGAAAUCCCGAGGCUCAACCUCGGGCUUGCAGGGGUACGGGCAGACUAGAGUGCGGUAGGGGAGAUUGGAAUUCCUGGUGUAGCGGUGGAAUCGCAGAUAUCAGGAGGAACACCGAUGGCGAAGGCAGAUCUCUGGGCCGUAACUGACGCUGGGAGCGAAAGCAUGGGGAGCGAACAGGAUUAGAUACCCUGGUAGUCCAUGCCGUAAACGUGGGCGCUAGAUGUAGGGACCUUUCCACGGUUUCUGUGUCGUAGCUAACGCAUUAAGCGCCGCCUGGGGAGUACGGCCGCAAGGCUAAAACUCAA
This 873-nucleotide ribosomal RNA is filed under the name uncultured Curtobacterium sp. RNAcentral describes it as "bacterial SSU rRNA". It matches the Rfam family "Bacterial small subunit ribosomal RNA", at positions 1 to 904 of the family's 1533-position model. Lineage: Bacteria; Bacillati; Actinomycetota; Actinomycetes; Micrococcales; Microbacteriaceae. The record is from RNAcentral.